GGUCUAUUAGCUCAAUUGGUUAGAGUGUCGUGUUAAUAAUGCGAAAGUCACAGGUUUGAUUCCUACUUGGGUCA
Non-coding RNA from Glycine max (soybean), 74 nucleotides. The record is from Rfam. Lineage: Eukaryota; Viridiplantae; Streptophyta; Magnoliopsida; Fabales; Fabaceae.